RNAcentral lists this ribosomal RNA (253 nucleotides) under uncultured bacterium. RNAcentral's name for it is "partial 16S ribosomal RNA". It matches the Rfam family "Bacterial small subunit ribosomal RNA", at positions 524 to 776 of the family's 1533-position model. The record is from RNAcentral. RNAcentral also lists the same sequence under 1 other name.
UACGUAGGUGGCGAGCGUUGUCCGGAAUUACUGGGUGUAAAGGGCGUGUAGGCGGGGAUACAAGUCAGAUGUGAAAUACCGUGGCUUAACCACGGGGCUGCAUCUGAAACUGUAUUUCUUGAGUGUCGGAGAGGAAAGUGGAAUUCCCAGUGUAGCGGUGAAAUGCGUAGAUAUUGGGAGGAACACCAGUGGCGAAGGCGACUUUCUGGACGAUAACUGACGCUGAGGCGCGAAAGCGUGGGGAGCAAACAGG